GAUAGCUCAGUCGGUAGAGCAGGGGAUUGAAAAUCCCCGUGUCCUUGGUUCGAUUCCGAGUUU
This 63-nucleotide transfer RNA is filed under the name Escherichia coli. RNAcentral's name for it is "tRNA-Phe". It matches the Rfam family "tRNA", at positions 7 to 64 of the family's 71-position model. Rfam says of the family: Transfer RNA (tRNA) molecules are approximately 80 nucleotides in length. Their secondary structure includes four short double-helical elements and three loops (D, anti-codon, and T loops). The record is from RNAcentral. Lineage: Bacteria; Pseudomonadati; Pseudomonadota; Gammaproteobacteria; Enterobacterales; Enterobacteriaceae.